Molecule: ribosomal RNA, 253 nt
Filed under: uncultured bacterium
Lineage: Bacteria
Description: partial 16S ribosomal RNA
Rfam family: Bacterial small subunit ribosomal RNA
Source: RNAcentral
GACAGAGGGUGCAAACGUUGUUCGGAAUUACUGGGCGUAAAGCGCGUGUAGGCGGCUAUGCAAGUUGGAUGUGAAAGCCCUCGGCUCAACCGGGGAAGUGCACCCGAAACUGCAAAGCUAGAGUCUCGGAGAGGAUCGUGGAAUUCUCGGUGUAGAGGUGAAAUUCGUAGAUAUCGGGAGGAACACCGGUGGCGAAGGCGGCGACCUGGGUAGAUACUGACGCUGAGGCGCGAAAGCGUGGGGAGCAAACAGG